Molecule: ribosomal RNA, 1057 nt
Filed under: Pterodontia sp. SLW-2002
Lineage: Eukaryota; Metazoa; Arthropoda; Insecta; Diptera; Acroceridae
Description: eukaryotic LSU rRNA
Rfam family: Eukaryotic large subunit ribosomal RNA
Source: RNAcentral
UCAGGAUAGCUGGUGCAAUUAAAUAUUAUAUAAAAUAAUCUUAUCUUGGUAAAGCGAAUGAUUAGAGGCAUUAGGGUCGAAACGAUCUUAACCUAUUCUCAAACUUUAAAUGGGUAAGAACCAUAUCUUUCUUGAUAUGAAGAUAUAUAUUGGUUAUGAUAUAUUGUGCCCAGUGGGCCACUUUUGGUAAGCAGAACUGGCGCUGUGGGAUGAACCAAACGUAAUGUUAAGGCGCCUAAAUUAACAACUCAUACUGAUACCAUGAAAGGCGUUGCUUGCUUAAAACAGCAGGGCGGUGGGCAUGGAAGUCGUAAUCCGCUAAGGAGUGUGUWACAACUCACCUGCCGAAGCAACUAGCCCUUAAAAUGGAUGGCGCUCAAGUUGUAUGCCUAUACAUUACCGCUAAAAUAUAUGAUUUAUAAUAAUUAAUUAUAAAUUUUGAAAUUUUAGUGAGUAGGAGGGUACAUGGUGUGCGUAGAAGUAUUUGGCUUAAGCUGUAUGGAGCCCCCAUUGGUACAGAUCUUGGUGGUAGUAGCAAAUAAUCGAAUGAGAUCUUGGAGGACUGAAGUGGAGAAGGGUUUCGUGUGAACAGUGGUUGAUCACGAGUUAGUCGGUCCUAAGUUCAAGGCGAAAGUCGAAAAAUGUUUAAGUAUAUAUUUAUAAAUAAAUAAAUAAUAAUAGUACUUUAUAUAUUUUAAAAUGAACGAAAGGGAAUACGGUUCCAAUUCCGUAACCUGUUGAGUAUACGUUUGUAAUUAAAAAUGGGCUUAUAUGCUCAUCCUGGUAACAGUAACAACCAUAAAGAAGCCGUCGGGAGAUAUCGAAAGAGUUUUCUUUUCUGUUUUAUAGUCAUAUUACCAUGGAAGUCUUUCGAAGAGAGAUAUGGUAAAUGGACUAGAAGAGCAUGGCAUUUACUGCUGUGUCGAUAUUUUCUCCUCGGACCUUGAAAAUUUAUGGUAGGGUCACGCAAAUUUCUUAACAGGCCGUACCGAUAUCCGCAGCUGGUCUCCAAGGUGAAGAGUCUCUAGUCGAUGGAAUAAUGUAUUAAGGGAAGUCU